RNAcentral lists this long non-coding RNA (6448 nucleotides) under Xyrichtys novacula (pearly razorfish). The stretch from base 1918 to 1995 matches the Rfam family "mir-9/mir-79 microRNA precursor family". Lineage: Eukaryota; Metazoa; Chordata; Actinopteri; Labriformes; Labridae. The record is from RNAcentral.
GUUCGUGAUUGGUCGAAAGCAGCCUGUCGUCGCAGUGACGUCACCGGGGCCGGGUGGGAGGAUGAGACGUAGAGAAAAAAACACGGAGUCGGAGAGGAGGUGAGAGGAGACCACCGGAGGAUGAGUGAGGGGACAGCGUGCUGCAUCCUCACUCACGAGCUCGGACUAAAGGAGGAGACACGCGAAGACCAUCCCGCUAAUACACACCAGCGCGAGAGCCGGGGAGAAACACUCUCGUGGACACGGAUACAAACACACGUUUCAACAAGGAUACAACACGGCACCCCGCGGACACCCGGGCUCGAGGGGGACGCUGUGGGAUUUAUCGAUACGAUCCACGCGCUCACCUGUUUGUCAUGCACGUGUCCUCGUGCAUAUGUGGAGCCUGAGUGAAGCUGCAGAGUGUUCUUGAACGUGGAUGCUUUCAGUCUCCAUGGGUACAGGAGGCGUGUUACACCAUGUCAAAGUGAGUUUUCUGUCUCUCUUUUUUUUCUUCUUCUUCUUUUUUUAUUUACAUCAUCUCCAGACGUGUUGAAUAAAGUACAUCUCACUAUUUCAGCCUGGUGAUGCACGAGUUUAAUGUUUAAAAAUAUAGGGGUAUUUUUUUUGAUCAAUUCAUCUUUACAUUCAAGUCUGAUGUUAAGACGAGGUUCAUUAUCAGAGUCACAAUUUAUUACACCGAUCACAUGGGCUAUUCUGCAUAAUUUCUCAUAGUAAAAAUGCACAUGAAUAAAAACAUCAGCUUUAAUUGAACAAAGUCAGGGUUAGGUGAGUUUACACACAUAAAGCUGGAGCAUAAACAGGCCUUUUUACACAGCUGCAACAAGAGCCCUUUCAUUUACACUUCACACCUUUGGUAACAAAAAAGCUGUAGUCUAAUUGAUGUUCUCCUCUUUCAAAAGAAAACUAAACCAAAAAACUUUAAAAUCUUCUCUCUAAUAAAUGUUUGUUUCAUUUAAAGGCAUUAAAAUGACAUUAAAUCUGUGUGAGAAUUUUCUCCCACAUACAAAGAAAGUGACGCACGCCUCAUAUUCCCCAAUUAAAACAACUGACGUCAGACGCACUGUCAGAGAAAAGCGUGAGUUCAUCAUUAGGUUAUCACAAGUUUACAGAUUAUAAUUGGCUGAAAAAAUGCAGGUUAAAACUGGACAUUAUUGUAUUUUCUCAAUUCUUUCAAAAUGAUGUGAAAUAGCUGUACAUGUAAUAGAAGACAGAGCCUUUAGGACUGCUCACCUUAGAGAAUUAUAAAACUAUAUGAAGAAUAUAAGUGAAGCAUUGUGUAACUAUCUUAAAACAGAAGAUGUAAGACUGCAUAAACCCUCAAAUGGCCACAUUGGAAAAGAUCUACUUUCAUGAUGAGAACAAUUAUCAUUCUGCUAAAAUAACUUGUGGAGCUAAUUUAAUGUCAAAGGUGUCUAAAGCAAAGCAGGAGGAGGUAUCUUUAGAAAGAUGGUGAUUUCUUUAACAAAAAAAAAGUAUGGGAAGAGGAACAGACAUUUAUUUUAAAAAAAUUGAAUAUUGUCUAGACUACAUGUUGUAUCUAAUAUUUAAAAGUUCAGUACUGUCAAACAGGGAUUUAAAGUUCAAUGAUAGGAGGUGAAACACUUCUUAAUAGGCUCAUACAGUUCAGGCUGAACUCCAUACAGACUUGUUCAUUUAGUGAGGUAGGAUUAAAGCUUACUGCACAUGUCCAAAAUUGUCAGUCACAUUCACAAUGUUGCAUAUUAUUUAAUUUUGAAAAACACACAAUAGAAAACACUUUUUCUUGUUCUUCAAAUUUUCUCACAGGUAUGAUACAAAAAUACAAAUGUAAUUCUGAAUGUGAAAUCUGUUAAAGGCUUAGAUUCAUAGAUAUAAUGUUGUUUACUCACAGGAAUCUACAGACUUACAUUUGACUGUGACAGUAAAGAGUGGAGCCUGUUCCUGUCUUUGGUUAUCUAGCUGUAUGAGUGUUAAUCAUCCAUCAUAAAGCUAGAUAACCGAAAGUAGGAAUGCACUCCAAACUCUCUGAUUCCUUCAAGGAAGAGGCAGACACCAGAGGAUGGCACAUCUUAACAGGUGGGUUACAGACAUUUUUUAUUUUAUCUUUUUAUUAUUGUCAAUUUCUUUUUUUAAAUGUUAAAGUAUAAGAAAGUAUAAGUUAUUGUCCCAGCACUAGUAAUCAGUGGAUUUAUGGCGAAGAAAAAGUAAUAGCUCCCUAUUUUACCAGUCUCAGCUUCAUGUAUCUUAAAAUGUUCUUUUGUGAAAAUAAAUUACACAUCUUUGUAUUUAGUCCAUUGUUCAGACAUGAUAAGAAGUUUAAGCAAUGUAUUUGGGUAUUGAACAAUGUUUUUUAUUUUUUUUAAACAAAUGUUAUCGCAUAUUACUGAAAAUAACUUUUGGUUUCCUCUCUAGUCACAAAAAAGAUAUAGACAACUGUGCACCAAAACAGUUUUUAUGUCUUUAUUAUUUUAGCAUCUUUGUGUAUUAAAAAUGCUUUGAAAAUAUCACCCGAGAUGAGGUGUAUACAUCAAUAUCUCAUUCAGUUUCCACUUCUCAAAUACCUAAUGGUGUUUUUUACGCACACACACACACACACACACACACACAGUAAUACUCACUGUUUUGUGUAUCGUUUCCAUGGGAUUAACUUUGUUUUGUCAUCAAUCAAUGACCUCAGGUAACAAGGCAAGACAUGUUUAUUUGUAAGUACAUUUUGACACUAAAGCAAUUCACAGUGCCUCGCACAAGACAUGAAAAAAUGGCUGAGGUUCAUUCACAACAGAAGACAUUUAAAAGUAAUGAAAAUACUUAGAAAAUCAAAGCAAUAAUGACAUUUAAAACAUCAAAAACAUAAGGUUAUAGCACAUGAAAGUUUCUAAUACAAGCCUAAAAGUUAUGGUACAUGCUGUUAAAUGAAAUAGGCAUUAUAAUGAUUUAACAAAUAAUUGAGUAAAAGAGCUACAAAAAGGUGAGUCUUUAUCCUGGAUUAAAAAAAAAAAAAAACUGUUUCAGCAAAUCUUACAUUUUCUGGAGGUUUGUUUCAGAUGUCUGGAGCAUAAAAAAUGAAAACUGCACCUUCACAUUUGGUUCUAACUCUUUGGAUUAGUCCAAGAAGACCUGAGUUUGCUAGAUGGUUUGAAGUGAAUGAGGAAAUUGCUUUAAAUCAUUUACUGCUUAACACACCAGCAGCAGUGUUUUAAAAUCUGAUCUUUGACAACCAGGCAGCCGUGGUUAAGACGUCUGAAGUGGAUUGAUGUGAUCUGCUCCUCUUGGUUUUAGUGAGGACUUGAGCAGCAGAGUUCUGAAUUCACUGAGAUAAGCUGUGAGGGUGAUCAUGUCAAAUGAAGAUGAAUACAUGGACCUGUUAUUCUAAGUCCUGCUGGGACCUAAGUUAUGAAAGUUUAAAAAAAGAUGCUUUCUUUUUUAGGGAGUUUUUUAUUUUGCUCCAAAGUCGUAGUUCAGUGUAGUUGCCUCAUCACUGUAAAAUCUGUCAAACAAACCUGAACCCAUUAGAAACAGAACAAAAUUAACUGUUUUUCAGUUUUUCUGAAUGAUUGAGAUGAUACAAUUUUAAUCUGCAGAACACCUACCUGAGCUGAAUCAAAAAACACCACCAUGAGGUCAUUAGAUCCUAAUUUUUUUAGAUAAUUGAUUCAAAGGAGAUUUUACUUUUCUAUUGUAGAAAAAAAAAACAGUUAUAAUUUUCUCUAUUUUUGCAUAACUGUUACUUUUGUCUUGUUAUUAUGCUCCACUGGAUUCUACAUGACCUCUUCUUUUUCUGUAGGUUUUAACACAUCCAUAAAACACAUCAUUUUAAUUUGGAUUACACAAAGGCUUUUUAGUGACAUUUAAAGCAUACUGUAACCUGUUAUUUUACAGAGGUUAAAAUACAAAAUGAAAAUGUUAAUAAUGGUGAUGAAAAAUCCUGUUAUAUAUUUUCCUCAGAUCUAACCUGCAUUUUACAUCCUGUGUUUACUCAGACAGAGAGGCCUUUUCUUAACUCAUAUCAGUCUGAUCAGGUUGGAGCUCAGUCUUCUUCUUCUCUGUCUAAGCAUCAUGUUGUCUCUAUGGAGGCCAUCUUGGCUGAGUCUCCUGCUGCUUGGUUGUAAAAUGGUUGUUGGCACAAAGCAGCCGUAUUAAUUGCUCGAUCGUUAGCGUUCUGCCUGACUGUAAUCAGUCAGUCUUUUAGCCGCUCUGUCCUGUCUAAUGUCUGAUCUCACAUCUUCUCCUAGCUUAUCGUAAAGGUCAUAUUACUGUCAUCUUUACAGGUCAAUCAGCCAGGCAGUGUAUAUACAGUUUAUGACAACUUUACAUUAAGCAAUGGAUGAAUAUAAGUGAUUCACGUAAAGAUGAUCCAAGGACAUUUGGAAAGAUAAAAGCAGCUGAACACCCCUGAGAGUCCACUGAUCUCACAUCAGCCAGUCUAAUGAGCUGCUCGAGGUCAUGCAAACAUUGGCAGACGAUCUCUAAAUCAUGAAGCCUUAAUAACCAAAGUUAGAUCUAAAAUUCAAAUGGUUUUUGACAUGACAGACUAAUAACUUCAAUAAACAAUAAAGUGAUCAAUAAUUAAUGUGUGUACAUGAACAGUAUGCAUUUAAAAAAAGAUUAGACAUUUAUUUGCAGUCUGAGGUGAAUAAAAGACUAAAACCACUAAUGUUACACAUCUAUUAUAUGUGAAAACAGCAUGAAAGGGUAAUCCAGAAAACUUGAAGGAAAUAAAGACAUAGAAAUAAAAAAAGAGUAAAUAAAGAAAUACCUCUCUAUGCCUUUAAAUACAUUUCUUGUUAAUUUUUUAUUUAAAAAUUAACUUUUUUACUAACUGAAUAGUGAAAGCUGGGAUUGUUUUCUCAUUGUCUUAAUCUCUACUUCUGUGUUAAUUUUCUUUCACCAAAAAAAGUCGUGUGUGUGUGUGUGUGUGUGUGUGUGUGUGUGUGUGUGUGUAAACCUGAUUUGACAGUAACUUACAGCAUUAUCAAUAUACACUUACAAAAACGCCAUUAAAUAUAUAUUUUUAUUCAGCCUGUUUUACGACAUUUUCUAUAGUUUUUCUUUAAAAUGUGUGUUUAUUUACUUAAAUACAUCUUAGAUAAAUAAGCCUUGUCAGGCCCUAAAUAUGGUCCUUUUAGGAAAUCUACUUUGAUGACUUAUAUUUAUUUUGAGUUUAGAGUUAAUGACCAAUACUUGGCCAUCAAUUAAACUUAUUGUAAUUGAUCAUUGAUGUGCUGUAGGCCUAAUAACACAUGAAUCAAAUUUACCUGUAGCAAAUAUGAGAGAAAAUCUGUAUUUUUUUCCAUUUUCAUACAUUAUCAGAUAAAAGAGAAAACGAAGAAAUACGAUGUCAGUCAUUUAGGCCUCAGUCUGCAAAACAAGCCCAGUAUUUCUGUAAAAGACCCAUCUCUUGAAGAGGAAAAAAUGAAGAGAAACCCGUCUCUAAUAAGUAAUUAAAUCAAUUACAACUCCUCUUUGAGUCCUCUCAUAUUUUGUAAAUAGGCUACAUACAGUAUGUGCUGAUGAUAUGAGAACUAAAGUCUGAAAUGUUUCAGGUGGAUUUACAGUUCAUCACGGAAAUAAAACUAAUUCGGCCUGUGGUACGAUCGCUUUAUGUGUAGGCCUCCAGUUUGUCGAUAAUGUACUCACAGACGGAGCGAAGUGUUUUCUCCGCAGUGUAGACGGAAACAACAAACAAAAAAACGCUGCUUACAAAAUCAAAGUCUCUCUAUCCAAAAGUCAGCACCUGUCUUUUCGUGUUUCUGCCCGCCAUCAUCACUGUGGGAGAGAGAGAGAGAGAGAGAGAGAGAGGGAAAAGCCCGAGUGUCGGUGUAAAGAUGUAAAAUAAAGGAAACGAUCAGAGAAGUGCAGCAGUAAUGAAUAGAGGCAGACAGGCUGCAUAUUAACAUAAUUGCAUAGAAACGAGCAGCAGCAGCAGAGAGGAUUUAAAGGCGCAGCAGCACCAAGAAGCUCAUCGGCCAGUUAGCAGAAUAAUCAAGUGGACUCAUAAUCAGAAAGAGGAUGCAGAAUGUGUACACUUUCAUUUCAUCUCCUUUUACUGUUGUAUUAAUUUUAUUUUCGUAAACUGUGUUUUUCCAUCAUGGUUCUGUAUGUAGAACCUGUUCCUGCAGUUUUCGAAAUGAUGCCCUUUAGGCCAUUAAAAUACUAAAAUGACGGGAUCUGUAUGUGGAUAUAUGAAUCCCAUAAUUCUUCCUAUAAUAACCAGCAGUGUAAGGCAGAGUUUAGUCCAGUCCCACUCAACCUGUCCUGAGAGAAUUUCUAACCUGGCCCCCUGAAGUUAUUUACGAUUUUUCCUCAAAACUUUCUUUUGUGUUCAUUUAUUAUGGAAAAUCCAUUUAAAGGAAUUUCUGUAAAUUAGAUUGUGUUUUGUGAAAUUGUUUCAAUAGUAAUAUGUUUUUUAUUCUUUUUCGUUUUUGUAAAGAUAGCCACUUUUAUAUGAAAAACAUUCACACAUACA